UAGGCAGAAGCCUGUUGGUUUAGGCGUCUAGCUGU
Molecule: transfer RNA, 35 nt
Filed under: Pinguinus impennis (great auk)
Lineage: Eukaryota; Metazoa; Chordata; Aves; Charadriiformes; Laridae
Description: partial tRNA-Asn
Source: RNAcentral